Molecule: ribosomal RNA, 301 nt
Filed under: uncultured bacterium
Lineage: Bacteria
Description: partial 16S ribosomal RNA
Rfam family: Bacterial small subunit ribosomal RNA
Source: RNAcentral
CAGUAGCCACGGGAAUACAGAGGAUGCAAGCGUUAUCCGGAAUUAUUGGGCGUAAAGGGCUCGCAGGCGGUUUCUUAAGUCUGAUGUGAAAGCCCCCGGCUCAACCGGGGAGGGUCAUUGGAAACUGGGAAACUUGAGUGCGGAAGAGGAGAGUGGAAUUCCACGUGUAGCGGUGAAAUGCGUAGAGAUGUGGAGGAACACCAGUGGCGAAGGCGACUCUCUGGUCUGUAACUGACGCUGAGGAGCGAAAGCGUGUGGAGCGAACAGGAUUAGAUACCCCGGUAGUCCCUGUCUCUUAUAA